This 253-nucleotide ribosomal RNA is filed under the name uncultured bacterium. RNAcentral's name for it is "partial 16S ribosomal RNA". It matches the Rfam family "Bacterial small subunit ribosomal RNA", at positions 524 to 776 of the family's 1533-position model. The record is from RNAcentral.
UACAGAGGGUGCAAGCGUUAAUCGGAAUCACUGGGCGUAAAGCGCACGUAGGCGGAUCUUUAAGUCAGAGGUGAAAUCCCAAGGCUCAACCUUGGAACUGCCUUUGAUACUGGGGAUCUCGAGUCCGGAAGAGGUGAGUGGAACUGCGAGUGUAGAGGUGAAAUUCGUAGAUAUUCGCAAGAACACCAGUGGCGAAGGCGGCUCACUGGUCCGGUACUGACGCUGAGGUGCGAAAGCGUGGGGAGCAAACAGG